Unclassified non-coding RNA from Ursus americanus (American black bear), 318 nucleotides. Its record names the gene 7SK. It matches the Rfam family "7SK RNA". Rfam says of the family: 7SK was discovered as an abundant small nuclear RNA in the mid-70s but a possible function has only recently been suggested. Two independent studies have found that 7SK RNA binds the CDK9/cyclin T complex (known as elongation factor P-TEFb). P-TEFb activates transcription by phosphorylating the C-terminal domain of RNA polymerase II. The record is from Ensembl. Lineage: Eukaryota; Metazoa; Chordata; Mammalia; Carnivora; Ursidae.
GGAUGUGAGUGUGAUCUGGCUGUGACAUCUGUCACUCUGCUGAUUGCCUUGGUUGAUUUGGCUGGCUGGCUGGAUAUCCCCUUUCUCCCUCAUGGCUCCUUGUGCCUCCCUCCAGAGCUGCACGCUUGGUCCAAGAGGAUGACCUUCCCAGUAGAAGAGGAAUGUUUUUCAGUCAAGGGUACAAGUAGCUGGUGCUCCCCUGCUAGAAACUCCCAACAAGCUCUCAGGGCCCAUUUGUGGGAGAAUGUAGGGUAGUCAAGCUUCCAAGAUUCCAGAUCCCUCCAAAUAAGUGUUUCAUGUGGCAGCCUAACUUUCUUN